Salvia splendens (bonfire salvia) is the source of this 1016-nucleotide RNA transcript. It is a transcript of the gene named 7-methyl-GTP pyrophosphatase, with no coding region annotated. The transcript is spliced from 10 exons. NCBI's taxonomy places the organism in Eukaryota, Viridiplantae, Streptophyta, Magnoliopsida, Lamiales, Lamiaceae. The record is from RefSeq and is a predicted model, not a curated record.
AGGAUUAAUUUUUAAACCUGAAAAUAACAAAAAAAAAAAAAAGAAUACCGUUUGUUCAUUGUGUUUUGUGUUCCAUUUUCAAAACCAGAACUGAAAUUGGUAAUUUGGUACGUACCAAAAAAGCGAAAAAUGGAUUCUACUGCUCACAAUCAAGAAUUCAAGAUAAUCUUGGGCUCAUCUUCUGUUGCCCGCAAAAAGAUUAUGGCUGAUAUGGGUUUCAAAUUCACUACUAUGUCUGCAGACAUAGAUGAAAAGGCGAUUCGCAAAGAAAAGGCCAAAGAUUUGGUUAUGACUCUUGCAGAGGCAAAGGCAGAUGCUAUAAUAGGUAAACUGGAGAAUCUUGGGAAUGAAGAGAAGGAUGCUAAGCCUACAGUUGUAGUAUCUGCUGAUACUGUAGAAAAUGCCCAACCAAAGCUUCAUGGGAAAGACGAGGCAGAACCUACAUUGCUAAUCACCUGUGACCAAGUUGUGGUGUAUGAAGGCGUGAUAAGGGAGAAACCCUCUAGCAAAGAGGAGGCACGUCAAUUCAUAAAAGGUUAUUCUGGUGGGCAUGCUGCCACAGUGAGUUCUGUUCUAGUAACAAACCUUAGCAAUGGAUCAAGGAAAGGGGGAUGGGACAAAGUUGAGAUUCAUUUCCAUGAUAUACCGGAAGAAGUUAUAGAAAAACUGAAGAAGCGCCUGUGCUUAACGUAGCAGGAGGGCUGAUUAUCGAACAUCCUCUGGUUGUGCCAUACGUUAAAGAAGUGGUGGGUGGAACGGAUAGUGUAAUGGGACUCCCAAAAGAUCUUACAAGAAGAUUAAUGAAGGAGGUUCUGUAAAUCAACUUCAUUGCAAUGACGAAGCAUUUAGUGAUAUUACUGAGCUAUAAACAUGAGCUUUCCUAGAUUGUAAGGAAUCUAAUCUUAUACUCCACUAUUGUAUUGGCAAUUUAAUGUUGUGACUGAAUAUGUUUCAUGAAAAUGUUCACUUUAAGUUGGUGGAAGUGCUAAUUAACCACUUUCAUGCUCUGUUUCAUA